GACGAACCAUCCAAACGUUAUUCGGAAUUACUGGGCUUAAAGGGUGCGUAGGCUGCGCAGCAAGUUGGGUGUGAAAUCCCUCGGCUUAACCGAGGAACUGCGCCCAAAACUACUGUGCUUGAGGGAGACAGAGGUGAGCGGAACUUAGGGUGGAGCGGUGAAAUGCGUUGAUAUCCUAAGGAACACCCGUGGCGAAAGCGGCUCACUGGGUCUCUUCUGACGCUGAUGCACGAAAGCUAGGGGAGCGAACGGG
RNAcentral lists this ribosomal RNA (253 nucleotides) under uncultured bacterium. RNAcentral describes it as "partial 16S ribosomal RNA". It matches the Rfam family "Bacterial small subunit ribosomal RNA", at positions 524 to 776 of the family's 1533-position model. The record is from RNAcentral.